CGAGGUGGGAAAUGAGAAAUCCCUGAGGUUGAAAAUGAGAAAUCCUGGAAAUCCUUGAGCUGGGAAAUGGGAAAUGGAACGGGGAAAUCCCUGACUGAGGUGGGAAAUGGGAAAUCCGUGAGAUGGGGAAUCCUGAAGAUCCGCGAGGUUGGAAAUGAGAAAUCCCCGAGGUGGGAGCUGGGAAAUCCUUGAGGUGGAAACUGGGAAAUCCUGGAAAUUCCCGAGGUGGAACUGGGAAAUCUCUGCCCAGCUGCUGGGUCGGGUGAAUGAUCAACCAGGGCAGGGGCGGGAUUGCAAAAUCCCCCGGUGUCCUUGGGGUGGGGAGAAGCUGAAUUUUCUCCCUCUGGGAUCACACAUGACCCCCAAAAAAAAACCAGAGCUGCUUGGCAAGAAGGGAUGGAAACCCCCGGGACCCUGCGGGGUCCGCGGCAGCGCUGGGGUGGGACGGGCGGGCCCGGGGCCGGGACAGAGCCGGGACAGAGCUGGGACAGAGCUGGGGCUGGGACAGAGCCAGGACAGAGCUGGGACAGAGCUGGGGCUGGGACAGAGCCAGGACAGAGCUGGGACAGAGCUGGGGCUGGGACAGAGCCAGGACAGAGCCAGGACAGAGCUGGGGCUGGGACAGAGCCGGGACAGAGCUGGGGCUGGGACAGAGCCAGGACAGAGCCAGGACAGAGCUGGGGCUGGGCUGGGACAGAGCUGGGACAGAGCCAGGACAGAGCUGGGACAGAGCCGGGACAGAGCUGGGGCUGGGACAGAGCCGGGACAGAGCCAGGACAGAGCUGGGACAGAGCUGGGACAGAGCUGGGACAGAGCUGGGGCUGGGCUGGGGCUGCUCCAGCCCCAGUCCUUCCUCACCCCAGGGGCUGGGGCAGAGCUGGGGCUGGGCCAGGGAUUCUCUCGGACCGGGGAUUCCCUCGGGCCGGGAAUUCCCUCGGGCCGGGGAUUCUCUUGGACCGGGGAUUCCCUCGGGCCGGGGAUUCCCUUGGGGCCCGGGAUUCCCUCGGGGCCGGGGAUUCUCUCGGGCCGGGGAUUCUCUCGGACCGGGGAUUCCCUCGGGGCGCUCCCAGCCCAGUCCCUCCUCACGGCCCCACCCCGCAGGGACCAGGCCGAGGCGCGGCGCUCCAAGACCAAGGAGGCGCGGAAGCGGCGCGAGGAGCGGCUGCAGGCCAAGAAGGAGGAGAUCAUCAAAACCCUGUCCAAGGAGGAGGAGGCCAAGAAGUGACCGACAUCAAAACCCUCUCCCGAGGAGGAGAAGGAGUGACCACGGGCUGUCCGAGCGGGUCCCAUCCCCGGGAUCCAAUAAAGCAUCCCGGGCAAUUCCCGAGUCCUGUGUC
Molecule: long non-coding RNA, 1337 nt
Filed under: Lonchura striata (white-rumped munia)
Lineage: Eukaryota; Metazoa; Chordata; Aves; Passeriformes; Estrildidae
Description: domestica (Bengalese finch) lncRNA (ENSLSDG00000001763.1)
Source: RNAcentral